AGGUGCGAUCAUACCAGCACUAAUGCACCGGAUCCCAUCAGAACUCCGCAGUUAAGCGUGCUUGGGCGAGAGUAGUACUAGGAUGGGUGACCUCCUGGGAAGUCCUCGUGUUGCACCUCUUUUUUUCACGGGAGGUAGCAUUAACGGACUCG
RNAcentral lists this small RNA (152 nucleotides) under Lupinus albus (white lupine). The record is from RNAcentral. Lineage: Eukaryota; Viridiplantae; Streptophyta; Magnoliopsida; Fabales; Fabaceae.